GGGAAUAUUGCACAAUGGGGGAAACCCUGAUGCAGCAACGCCGCGUGAGUGAUGAAGGUUUUCGGAUCGUAAAGCUCUGUUGUAAGAGAAGAACGUGUGUGAGAGUGGAAAGUUCACACAGUGACGGUAACUUACCAGAAAGGGACGGCUAACUACGUGCCAG
Molecule: ribosomal RNA, 163 nt
Filed under: uncultured bacterium
Lineage: Bacteria
Description: partial 16S rRNA
Rfam family: Bacterial small subunit ribosomal RNA
Source: RNAcentral